GGAUCCUGGACAGUUCUCGCGUGCCAUUCUCCACGUACAAAGCCAACGGCCCCAUUUGCAACUUUGCUAACUUAGUUGGCUUCCGCCCAGCCGAACCCCGAAGCAGUCACUGAAAACGUUCUGACACCAGAAAAUCAUUUCCACGACAGUGCAAGUGUUCGAAAGCACAAAGGCAGACACUGUCUACCCGCGACAGUUCGCAAGUUGCGGUGGCGGGGAGGCUGUGCGGAGCGCGCGUGCAGCGGCAGCUUGGUGAACCUUUGGGGGAAAAGGAAAAUUCAAAACCAAAUGAAGAACUUUUUCUGGUUGUUGCUGUCGAAACCUCCCUGAUGAUUUCCGCGGAAGUUCUCUGGAGCAGACAAUUUCACAAACAUCUGAAUCAAGCGGGCUCUGUCAGAGUUACCAGAGUGUGAAGAUUCUGCUGUUUAGUUCUGUGCAAGGAGAUUGGUAAGAAAAUUGUGAAGUAUCCCAGAUGCAGACAGCUGUCGCUCUGAGGAACCGACUAUAUUGAACUUCCUUGGGAUGCCCGCCUCUAAUUGCUGCAGCUGUAACCACUGCUUGUAGCCAGGGUGGGCUGAAAAGCACCACAGUCUGCUGUGGAAAAAAGCCUCAUGUCCAUAGGUUUUAGAGUGGAAUCUACAUCAUCAUAACUGAAUUUUAGCACAUAAUUCAAUCUGCUUGGAUGGAUGCCCCCUUUGCCUAAAAUACAGGACGGAUCACACUAAGAGAAAUCAUCCAAGAUGUUCAUGUUUUGUGCAUGAAAGUACAUCUGUAUAUAUUUUCCACUUUGCCCUUUUCAGUUUUCUUUGAGCACUGGAGUUUGUUUAUUUAUUUUAUAUUUUGGCAGCUAGGGACCGAGAUAUUUCUUUUCUGUUUGUUUUCUCCAACUCUUUUUACAGUUUAACAAGUCAAAUACAAAACUCAGGGGAGUUAAUAAGCCUCGUGAUGGUAUUGUGCAUAGCAUCACAUUAUUGAUUGGAUAUACUGCAUUGGAAUGCUGUAGAAGAGCCCUAAACCAAAAAAUUUCAGAUGCCUGAAGCUUUGAGCUUUCCAAUUAGGCUGAAAGGUUCCCCUGAUAACCAGUAGUGCUGAAGCUUUUAAUAUUGUUUAGCUCUAUCAGUUAUCAGCAACGUUUUCUAGUUACGGAGGCCAGAGGAUCACUUGAUGUCAGCAAGGUAGCUCCUCUAAUCUACUUGCCCCCCUUUCUAAUCAAAUAUUCUAUCUGGAAGAAAAGGAAUUUUCAGUUUAACGUAAGCUGAUCAUAAUUGGGAGCAAACGCUUCUUUCCCUUCUAUGCUAUCUCCUCCUGUGCAGCCUAUUUUGCAUCCAAAGAUACAUUUGAAAGUCGAAAUCCCUUAGAGCUAAAUAUUCUAAACUGACAGAAGAAUUUCUAGUGGCACACCAGCCUGGAGCCAUGUUUUUAUGAGGACAUCACUUUCUAUUUCUAAGCUUCACCAUGCACUCUUGCUUUCUUAGUGCUGGGAGCCAUGCCACAUCAACUUGCCUCCCUCUCAGCCUUUAAUGUUUUUUUAAUGGAGUCCAGUUUUCCGCCUAAGUUAUGGCUAGCUUUCUGACAAACCAUCAGACACCUAAGUGACCAUAAUGGAAGUGUCCAGAUGUGUCAUGGGAAAAGGCUAUGGCUAACUUUCAUGCCUUUAAACAAAACCAUAUUAUAACCAUUCAUUUUUACCUGGCCUCUGGGUUUGCCAUAGAGGCUAAAAUGAGGCUUAAGAAAACAUUUUAAAAAUUAAUAUAUGAUAUGAAGUCUUUUCUUGUAAGCCACAAGCAAAAGCAAUCAUUUCUAAAUCUGGCUGGCAUGGUGAGUAUGCUGCCUGUACAGUGAAAUAGCAGGAGUGCUGCAUGUUUUUCUGAAGCAAAGAACUGCUCAGGUAGCAAUGAAGUUAGUUAUCUAAUGAAAUAAAGCAAAUGCACUUUACAGAUUCCCAGCU
Macaca fascicularis (crab-eating macaque) is the source of this 1948-nucleotide long non-coding RNA. The record is from Ensembl. NCBI's taxonomy places the organism in Eukaryota, Metazoa, Chordata, Mammalia, Primates, Cercopithecidae.